Molecule: non-coding RNA, 108 nt
Organism: Acanthosepion pharaonis
Lineage: Eukaryota; Metazoa; Mollusca; Cephalopoda; Sepiida; Sepiidae
Source: the annotation of a GenBank genome assembly
UUACGGUCAAAUCACGCUGAAACACCGGUUCGAUCACCGAAGUUAAGCAUCGUAGAGCCAGCUCAGUACUUAGAUGGGGGACCGCUUGGGAACACCUGGUACUGUAAG